CUCACUUCUUGGCCUUUUGGAUAAGAUCAAGUGUAGAAUCUGUUCUUAUCAGUUAAUAUCUGAAAUAUUCUCUAUCCAAGGACAAUCUAUUAGAUGGAUUUUUGGAGCAGGGAGAUGGAAUAGGAGCUUGCUCUAUCCACUCCAUGCAUCAACCUGGUAUUGCAGUACCACCAGGACUGGUACACCCUUU
This 190-nucleotide small nuclear RNA is filed under the name Castor canadensis (American beaver). RNAcentral describes it as "U2 spliceosomal RNA (ENSCCNG00000027383.1)". It matches the Rfam family "U2 spliceosomal RNA". From Rfam's summary of the family: U2 is a small nuclear RNA (snRNA) component of the spliceosome (involved in pre-mRNA splicing). Complementary binding between U2 snRNA (in an area lying towards the 5' end but 3' to hairpin I) and the branchpoint sequence (BPS) of the intron results the bulging out of an unpaired adenosine, on the BPS, which initiates a nucleophilic attack at the intronic 5' splice site, thus starting the first of two transesterification reactions that mediate splicing. The record is from Rfam by way of RNAcentral. Lineage: Eukaryota; Metazoa; Chordata; Mammalia; Rodentia; Castoridae.